UGUCCUCCAUAGGAGGUCUAUAUUGAGCAAAUCCUUUUUGGUAUUGGGUGGUGGAACCGGAGCGUGCUCCAUCCACUCCAUGCAUUGACCUGGUAUUGCAGUGCUUCCAGGACCGGUGC
Molecule: small nuclear RNA, 119 nt
Filed under: Crocodylus porosus (Australian saltwater crocodile)
Lineage: Eukaryota; Metazoa; Chordata; Crocodylia; Crocodylidae
Description: U2 spliceosomal RNA (ENSCPRG00005014716.1)
Rfam family: U2 spliceosomal RNA
About the family: U2 is a small nuclear RNA (snRNA) component of the spliceosome (involved in pre-mRNA splicing). Complementary binding between U2 snRNA (in an area lying towards the 5' end but 3' to hairpin I) and the branchpoint sequence (BPS) of the intron results the bulging out of an unpaired adenosine, on the BPS, which initiates a nucleophilic attack at the intronic 5' splice site, thus starting the first of two transesterification reactions that mediate splicing.
Source: RNAcentral